UUGUGCCCUUGAGGCGUGGCUUCCGGAGCUAACGCGUUAAGUCGACCGCCUGGGGAGUACGGCCGCAAGGUUAAAACUCAAAUGAAUUGACGGGGGCCCGCACAAGCGGUGGAGCAUGUGGUUUAAUUCGAUGCAACGCGAAGAACCUUACCUACUCUUGACAUCCAGAGAACUUUCCAGAGAUGGAUUGGUGCCUUCGGGAACUCUNANACAGGUGCUGCAUGGCUGUCGUCAGCUCGUGUUGUGAAAUGUUGGGUUAAGUCCCGCAACNAGCGCNACCCUUAUCCUUUGUUGCC
Molecule: ribosomal RNA, 296 nt
Filed under: Enterobacter sp.
Lineage: Bacteria; Pseudomonadati; Pseudomonadota; Gammaproteobacteria; Enterobacterales; Enterobacteriaceae
Description: partial 16S ribosomal RNA
Rfam family: Bacterial small subunit ribosomal RNA
Source: RNAcentral